UGAGGUGCCUACAACAUGCUCUAGGGUUCAAUGUUGUCUUGUUUUGUUGACUGCUUGGAUAGCUUGCUAUGUCUGCGGUUACCAGGGCAAUCGAUAAUGUUGAUAACCCUUGCUGUUCGGGACUCUGGCGAAAUGGAGCGAUACGACCCGUCUUGAAACACGGACCAAGGAGUCUAACAUGUGUGCAAGUAUUAGGGCGUGGAAACCCAAAUGCGUAAUGAAAGUAAAUGAUACUUAUGUAUCUUUGGUAGGAAGGGGCUGUAAUGGUCCUGGCACUAUCGACCGAUCAUGAACCUACGGGUGAAAGAUUUGAGUAUGAGCAUAUAUGUUGGUACCCGAAAGAUGGUGAACUAUGCCUGAAUAGGGUGAAGCCAGGGGAAACUCUGGUGGAAGCUCGUAGCGAUUCUGACGUGCAAAUCGAUCGUCAAAUUUAGGUAUAGGGGCGAAAGACUAAUCGAACCAUCUAGUAGCUGGUUCCCUCCGAAAUUUCCCUCAGGAUAGCAGCAACUUUUUACGAUAGUUUUAUGAGGUAAAGCGAAUGAUUAGAGGCCUCGGGGAAGAAACUUCCUCGACCUAUUCUCAAACUUUAAAUGGGUAAGACCUGUGGGUUUCUUAAUUGAACCUGUGGACGUGAAUAUCCAAGUUGCUAGUGGGCCAUACCGGGUAAGCUGGUCUGGCGAUGCGGGAUGAUCCGAACGCAAGGUUAAAGUGCCAAAGUACCCGCUCACCUAGAUACCAUAAAAGGUGUUGGUUCAUCUG
This 759-nucleotide ribosomal RNA is filed under the name uncultured stramenopile. Its description in RNAcentral is "LSU rRNA". It matches the Rfam family "Eukaryotic large subunit ribosomal RNA", at positions 504 to 1235 of the family's 3401-position model. The record is from RNAcentral.